This 164-nucleotide non-coding RNA is filed under the name pig gut metagenome. RNAcentral's name for it is "Lysine riboswitch". It matches the Rfam family "Lysine riboswitch aptamer". Rfam says of the family: Riboswitches are metabolite binding domains within certain messenger RNAs that serve as precision sensors for their corresponding targets. Allosteric rearrangement of mRNA structure is mediated by ligand binding, and this results in modulation of gene expression. The record is from RNAcentral.
AAAGAUAGAGGUCGCGUUAAUUAUGAGUAAGCCGUCUGAUGUGUCAGGCACAGGGGAGGACAGUUGAAAGGAAAAGACGCCGAAAGUAUACAGUUCCUGAGAUUGUAUACUUGGGCAUAGGGUGAAGAACUCUAUGACUGUCAUCGCAAGAUGGGGAGCUAUCU